Molecule: ribosomal RNA, 110 nt
Filed under: Treponemataceae bacterium
Lineage: Bacteria; Pseudomonadati; Spirochaetota; Spirochaetia; Treponematales; Treponemataceae
Description: partial 16S ribosomal RNA
Rfam family: Bacterial small subunit ribosomal RNA
Source: RNAcentral
AUCAUGGAGAGUUUGAUCCUGGCUCAGAACGAACGCUGGCGGCGCGUCUUAAGCAUGCAAGUCGGGCGGCGAGGUGGUGGCUUGCCACCACCCUAGAGCGGCGGACUGGU